This 61-nucleotide ribosomal RNA is filed under the name Histoplasma capsulatum. RNAcentral's name for it is "partial 28S ribosomal RNA". It matches the Rfam family "Eukaryotic large subunit ribosomal RNA", at positions 1 to 60 of the family's 3401-position model. Lineage: Eukaryota; Fungi; Ascomycota; Eurotiomycetes; Onygenales; Ajellomycetaceae. The record is from RNAcentral.
UUGACCUCGGAUCAGGUAGGGAUACCCGCUGAACUUAAGCAUAUCAAUAAGCGGAGGAGCA